This 784-nucleotide ribosomal RNA is filed under the name uncultured bacterium. RNAcentral's name for it is "bacterial SSU rRNA". It matches the Rfam family "Bacterial small subunit ribosomal RNA", at positions 8 to 840 of the family's 1533-position model. The record is from RNAcentral.
AGAGUUUGAUCCUGGCUCAGAACGUACGCUGGCGGCACGCCUAACACAUGCAAGUCGAACGAAGUAGCAAUACUUAGUGGCAGACGGGUGAGUAACAUGUGGGUAUCUACCCUUUGGCCUGGAAUAACACGAGGAAACUUGUGCUAAUACCGGAUAAGUCUUUACGGAGAAAGCUUUAUGCACCAAUGGAUGAGCCCGCACUAGAUUAGUUUGUUGGUGGGGUAAUGGCCUACCAAGACUAUGAUCCAUAGCUGAUUUGAGAGGAUGAUCAGCCACAUUGGGACUGAGACACGGCCCAAACUCCUACGGGAGGCAGCAGUGGGGAAUCUUGCACAAUGGAGGAAACUCUGAUGCAGCGAUGCCGCGUGAGUGAAGAAGGCCCUUGGGUUGUAAAGCUCUUUCGUCGGGGAAGAAAAUGACUGUACCCGAAUAAGAAGGUCCGGCUAACUUCGUGCCAGCAGCCGCGGUAAUACGAAGGGACCUAGCGUAGUUCGGAUUUACUGGGCUUAAAGAGUUCGUAGGUGGUUGAAAAAGUUGGUGGUGAAAUCCCAGAGCUUAACUCUGGAACUGCCAUCAAAACUUUUCAGCUAGAGUAUGAUAGAGGAAAGCAGAAUUUCUAGUGUAGAGGUGAAAUUCGUAGAUAUUAGAAAGAAUACCAAUUGCGAAGGCAGCUUUCUGGAUCAUUACUGACACUGAGGAACGAAAGCAUGGGUAGCGAAGAGGAUUAGAUACCCUCGUAGUCCAUGCCGUAAACGAUGUGUGUUAGACGUUGGAAAUUUAUUUU